UUGGUGCUGAGGCACUCGCACAGCAAAAAUGUCUGCCUAAGGGGAAACUCUUAAGUGGUACAAAUACAGCAUAUUUCUCACUGCUAUUGCCGUUUAAAGACACACUUUACGCGUGUAGAGGCAUACACCGAGAAAGCGAAUCUUCACCAGAUCACCCUAGUCGGGAUUUUACUUGGAAAAAAGGUCUUAAGCUCGCCAGGAUGAAUCCUCAGCAGCGGAUUCCCGCUCUCGGAACAGACAAGGAAUUGAGCGACCUCCUGGAUUUUAGUGCGAUGUUCUCUCCACCCGUCAACGGAGGGAAGAACAGGCCAACGACACUUGGAAGCAGCCAGUUUAGUGCAUCAGGUAUGGAUGAGCGGACCAACCUUCCAGCAUCUUGGGCCCCAGGUGGCGAUUCCAGUCCUUCGUGCGAACCCUCCAGGGGUUUCACAGACAGCCCUCAUUAUGGUGAUCAUUUGAGUGACAGUCGAUUAGUGUCCCAUGAAGGAUUGUCCCCGACACCUUUUAUGAACUCCAACAUAAUGGCCAAAUCAGAGAGAGCUGCGUUACAUGGCUUUGGAAGGGAAACUGGAGCAUCUGGCUGUCAGUCACAGCCAUCUCUACGCUCAGACGUGGGAGUGACAAGUCCUAGUUCAGGGACGGCGUCGGCAAAGUCAGCGGCUCCCUUCUUUUCGUUCAGUGCUGCCAAUCCCAGAAGACGUGCUUUGCAGGACCCUCCGCCCAUUGAUCCUCUCCAAACAAAAAAGGUUCGCAAGGUCCCUCCUGGCCUGCCUUCAUCUGUGUACGCACCAUCUCCAAACUCAGAGGACUUCAACAGAGAUUCGCCCUCCUACUCUCCUCCCAAACCCUCCAGCAAUAUGUUUGCAAGCACUUUUUUUGAUGGUACCCACGGUUCAUCUGACCUUUGGAACGCAGCCAACGGGAUUAGUCAGCCUGGCUAUGGAGGAAUGCUUCCAGGAUCUUCAUCUCACAUGCCACAGUCGGGAAACUACAGCAGCCUGCACUCGCACGACCGUCUGAACUACCCAGCACACUCCGCUUCCCCAGACGUCAAUGCCAGUCUUCCUCCCAUGUCCAGCUUCCACAGAAGCAGCACAGGCACUUCACCAUUUGUCUCUGCAACAGUCAACAAUGCAGAUGGGGUGCUGGCUGCCGCAAAUCGGGGGAACGCAACUGGAAGCUCACAGACCGGAGAUGCACUUGGCAAGGCUUUGGCCUCGAUUUACUCACCUGACCACACGAGCAGCAGUUUUCCUUCCAAUCCGUCCACGCCUGUGGGUUCCCCUUCACCUCUCACAGCCACAGCAGGCGCUGCUGGCUCAGCAGGGACUGUGGUAACGUCUGGCAGCAACCCGUCUGGAAGACCAGGUACCAACCAGUGGCCGCGUCCCGGUGGACAGACCCCUUCUUCUCCAAAUUAUGAGAACUCCCUUCACUCACUGAAAAACAGAGUUCAGCAGCAGUUACAUGAGCAUCUUCAGGAUGCCAUGUCUUUCUUAAAAGAUGUCUGUGAGUCGCGAAUGGAGGAUCGUCUUGACCGGCUAGAUGAUGCAAUCCUUGUUCUGAGAAACCACGCUGUGGGCUCCACCGCCAGUCUGCCCAGCGACAUCCACAGUCUACUAGGCCAGGCACAAAAUGGACAACUGGCAGCCAUCGGAGCAAGUUUCCCUGCCUCAGCGCUGGCUUCCAGUCGGACCACAGCGAUGGGUUCUUCCCAUGCUGACGACACCGCUAGUCUGAACAGCCACGGAGGCCUGCCAAGCACCGGCUCCACGUCCAGCACAGAACUCAACCAUCAAGUGGAAGCAUUCCGAGGCUUGGCCAGUCAGGUAGCUACCACUUUGGCGCUGAAGGUAGAGAGGCAAGACAAGGAUGACAUGAACGAUUCCCUCUCGGGCGAUGACAAGUCGGAUGAUGAAAGCGACAGCUUGAAAACACCGCGCGGUGGCACGCGCACAAGUCUGACCGAGGACGAAGACCUGAAUCCGGAACAGAAAGCGGAGCGUGAGCGAGAGCGGAGGAUGGCCAACAACGCCCGGGAACGAUUGCGGGUGCGGGACAUCAACGAGGCCUUCAAGGAGCUGGGUCGCAUGUGCCAGCUACACCUGAAGAGCGAGAAGCCUCAAACCAAACUGCUCAUCCUCCACCAGGCCGUGGCAGUCAUCCUCAGUUUGGAGCAGCAAGUUAGAGAGCGGAAUCUUAACCCUAAAGCGGCCUGCCUAAAGAGAAGAGAGGAGGAAAAAGUGUCGGGCGGUUCCGGUGACGGCCAACAAGGUCACACGGGGGUCCACCCGAGCUUGACUGACACAUCCAACCCCAUCGGCCACCUCUGAGGCCCAGACAGUCCAAAAGCCAAACUUAGUGUGUGUCAUGUUAUAUAAAAUGGCAGCAAAACAUAACAGAGGCCCUUCACAUUGGACAAGCUACAGUAGGACUAGAUCAAACUCGCGGAACAUUUUGUCCCCUCUGAGAUGGCCACUCCUCUGACUUCUCGCCACCUUGCAGAGGAGAAUAGACCACCAGAAGCCAAAAUCACACGACUAACGCAAUCCAGUACAGAGACUGACAAGGAGCCCGCACGGUACUCCGUCCGCAAAUUUCUCCCCCAAAAAGCAAGAAGAAUCUCGAGCACAUAUCACGCAGAUCUGCAAGAAGCGUGUCGCUUCUGAACAAUCAGACUUCGCAAUCUCCUCCGACUCUAUGUGGAGGUUGCCUCGUGCCUAAACUGAAUUGACGAAUGCAUUGUAACAGCAACUUUUAUUUUUGUUCUCCUUCUAUUUAUUGCGCCCAUGAGCUCAAAGUGUAUGUCUUAAGGGAAAAUGUAUACAGUUUUCAGUUUAACCCAUAGUUUGCCUGUGUCGUUACAAACAAAAGC
Molecule: RNA transcript, 2875 nt
Organism: Syngnathus acus (greater pipefish)
Lineage: Eukaryota; Metazoa; Chordata; Actinopteri; Syngnathiformes; Syngnathidae
Gene: tcf12
Gene name: transcription factor 12
Exons: 22
Source: RefSeq, a predicted model, not a curated record